This 503-nucleotide long non-coding RNA is filed under the name Citrus x clementina. RNAcentral's name for it is "Citrus clementina (C. clementina) long non-coding RNA (CCLE_LNC001452)". The record is from RNAcentral. Lineage: Eukaryota; Viridiplantae; Streptophyta; Magnoliopsida; Sapindales; Rutaceae.
UAUAAAAGCAGUCAGCAAUUCUUGCUCAUCAUAAUCCAUUCAAAAAGCGUUUCAGCAAUUCUCGUUGUUUAAAAUAAUGAUUUUCUGCGGAAGAGUUUGUUGACUUCGUCUUUUUCGUUGGAUAUUGGUUUUCUAAUCUCUAAAUUUGUUGGAUAAUGUAAAGAGAAACUCAUAAUAUAUUAGUUUCUUUCUUAGUUUGUUUCUGAAAAUAUUCUUAAAAAUAUAAAAUUCAUUCUACACAUUUUAACAAAAGAAAUGAGAAACAACAUUUUCUUAUUUUCCUUAUUUUCCAAUACAAUAUUAAGUUCCAAAAUGAAGAAUUCUCUUUACCUCCUCCUAAAAUAAUAAUAAUAUCAACAUUAUUAUUAUUAUCAUUCAUUCUACACAUUUUAACAAAAGAAAUGAGAAACAACUUUUUCUUAUUUUCCUUAUUUCCCAAUACAAUAUUAAGUUCCAAAAUGAAGAAUUCUCUUUACCUCCUCCUGAAAUAAUAAUAAUAUCAA